This 605-nucleotide ribosomal RNA is filed under the name uncultured bacterium. RNAcentral's name for it is "bacterial SSU rRNA". It matches the Rfam family "Bacterial small subunit ribosomal RNA", at positions 57 to 648 of the family's 1533-position model. The record is from RNAcentral.
GCAAGUCGAGCGGCAGCGGGAGAGUAGCUUGCUACUUUUUGCCGGCGAGCGGCGGACGGGUGAGUAAUGCCUGGGGAUCUGCCCAGUCGAGGGGGAUAACAGUUGGAAACGACUGCUAAUACCGCAUACGCCCUACGGGGGAAAGCAGGGGACCUUCGGGCCUUGCGCGAUUGGAUGAACCCAGGUGGGAUUAGCUUGUUGGUGAGGUAAUGGCUCACCAAGGCGACGAUCCCUAGCUGGUCUGAGAGGAUGAUCAACCACACUGGAACUGAGACACGGCCCAGACUCCUACGGGAGGCAGCAGUGGGGAAUAUUGCACAAUGGGGGAAACCCUGAUGCAGCCAUGCCGCGUGUGUGAAGAAGGCCUUCGGGUUGUAAAGCACUUUCAGCGAGGAGGAAAGGUUGAUACCUAAUACGUAUCAGCCGUGACGUUACUCGCAGAAGAAGCACCGGCUAACUCCGUGCCAGCAGCCGCGGUAAUACGGAGGGUGCAAGCGUUAAUCGGAAUUACUGGGCGUAAAGCGCACGCAGGCGGUUGGAUAAGUUAGAUGUGAAAGCCCCGGGCUCAACCUGGGAAUUGCAUUUAAAACUGUCCAGCUAGAGUC